CAUUAAGUGCAGGAAAAGAAACCAAAUGGGAUUCCCUUAGUAACUGCGAGUGAAACGGGAUGAGCUCAGCGCCGAAGCCGGCAGCCGAGAGGCUGUCGUGCAAUGUGGCGUUCGAUAGGAUUCAAUGUCCGUGUGCAUCAUCGGUUAAAGUCUCCUGGAAAGGUGUCCCAGAGAGGGUGAUAGGCCCGUACGGCCGACUGAUGUGUUCGCGGACAAGUCCUCUCUCGAGUCGGGUUGCUCGCUAAUGCAGCCCUAAGCAGGUGGUAAGCUCCACCUAAGGCUAAAUAUAACCACAAGUCCGAUAGUCAACAAGUACAGUGAUGGAAAGUUGAAAAGUACUCUGAAGAGAGAGUCAAAUAGCCCGUGAAGCUGCUCUUUAUGGGAUUAAGCGCACGUGUGACACGUGUCGUUCGACAAAUAGGCGACCGGCCAUUGGUUUGUUGGUCGGCUGGCGGCUAUACUGUGUGUAUGGCCACAGUCGGUCAGCGUGUACGCCAGUGGCUGAGCGCUUUCCUUUGUUGAACAUUGACAGGUCGUGCUGUCGUUGCAUUCGGUCCUAAUGCCGUGUGUUACUCGACAAGCCGAUGCCGGUCUGCGUUGGUGUCGCAAGGCACCAGUGUAGAUGUCGCGCUGAAUCGACGUGCUCCGGCACGACAGCGCCGGUGUUGGUUGUCGAUGUGAUUGCAUGCGCGCUAGAGACUAUGCGACGGGUGGCGCUAAUAGUGUGAACGCUUGUCGUUCGCCAACGGCCUUUGUGUUGUCACGUGCGGCCCGUCUUGAAACACGGACCAAGGAGUCUAACAUGUGAGCAAGCGAUUGAGAUUUUCACUAAUCUCAAACGCACAAUGAAAGUGAAGUGUCGUAUAUGGCGGCACAAGCGGAGAUCAAUGGCUAUUUAACGAUGGUUAUUGCGCAUCCGCGGGCCGCGCCAUCGGCUAGCUUGCUGGUUCAUUCUGGCACUGCCGAGGCGUGGACCUAGAGCUGACACGCUGAGACCCGAAAGAUGGUGAACUAUGCUUGGCGAGGAUGAAGCCAGGGGAAACCCUGGUGGAGGUCCGUCGCGAUUCUGACGUGCAAAUCGAUCGUUUUAGCUGAGUAUAGGGGCGAAAGACCAAUCGAACCAUCUAGUAGCUGGUUCCGCCUGAAGUUUCCCUCAGGAUAGCUGGCGCUCGUUUGAUACGGAGUUUCAUCCGGUAAAGCGAAUGAUCAGAGGAGCUGGGCUGAUCUGAAGCUCAACCUAUUCUCAAACUUUCAAUGGGUGAGACGUCUCGCUGGCUUCAAUGCAGCGACGACUCUGAAUCCGAGUGCCCAGUGGGCCACUUUUGGUAAGCAGAACUGGCGAUGCGGGAUGAACCGCAUAUCGAGUUAAGGUGCCUAAGCGAACGCUAAUCAGAUACCAUGAAAGGUGUUGAUUGCUCACGACAGCAGGACGGUGGCCAUGGAAGUCGGCAUCCGCUAAGGAGUGUGUAACAACUCACCUGCCGAAGCAAUCAGCCCUGAAAAUGGAUGGCGCUAUAGCGUUCCACCGAUACUCGACCGUUGUCGGCAUGCGACGUGCGCAAGUGCGUCUCAGGCCACAACGAGUAAGGCGGCGUGGCGGUGAGCGUUGAAGGCGUGGUCGUGAGACCAGCUGGAGCCGCCGUCAGUGCAGAUCUUGGUGGUAGUAGCAAAUACACAAGCAAGAUCCUUGUGGACCGAUGUGGAGAAGGGUUCCGCGCGAACAAUAUUUGGACGUGGGUGAGUCGGCCCUAAGCCAACGGGUAAUUCCCGCAUCCCGGUGUAUGGUUGCGUUGCAAUGCAUUGUGAACACACAUUGGGUUGGU
This 1823-nucleotide ribosomal RNA is filed under the name Heterosaccus californicus. RNAcentral's name for it is "eukaryotic LSU rRNA". It matches the Rfam family "Eukaryotic large subunit ribosomal RNA", at positions 44 to 1593 of the family's 3401-position model. Lineage: Eukaryota; Metazoa; Arthropoda; Thecostraca; Sacculinidae. The record is from RNAcentral.